This is a long non-coding RNA of Anguilla rostrata (American eel), 1286 nucleotides long. RefSeq lists it as uncharacterized. Lineage: Eukaryota; Metazoa; Chordata; Actinopteri; Anguilliformes; Anguillidae. The record is from RefSeq and is a predicted model, not a curated record. The transcript is spliced from 3 exons.
AGUCUUUUAUAUUUUUAGCUGAGUGAAACCCUAGCUGCUUCAGCAGACCCUUUUAACAACAAAAUUCUUACUGUUCUUACUGUUGUCCACAGUCUGGAGGGCUAGAGAGUCAUUUUUACAAUUUAUUUUCAAAACUAGAACACUGUGUAAAAGACCGCAGAGAAAUGAAGUGUGACCACGGAAACGCAGCUGAGAGAGCCAAACUCCCGGCUGAAUCUGCACUUUGGAACGCUCUGACUGUGGAAUGCCGCCUCAGAUGCUCCUGACAGACAGGCCAGUGGUAUAGAAGCACGACAGAUAGUUUAAAUGUCGGAAUUUAAGCUGGUUAGCACAUGCUGAGAGGCUAGAUUUAUGAUUCCUGUGGUCCUGGAGGAAUGACCAUUUGAGCAUCAGGAAACCAGACUUUCCCAUCGCCUCUGGGGCCACAGUUACAAUGAUCUCUCCAGAAUGGAAAUUAAACCAGAAUGAAAGCUACCUGAAAGACUCCUGAUUGGCCAACAACCACAGAGCAAUCUGCACCAGCUUGUAGGCCCAGAUGGAAGUUCAGCCCACUCCACUUUCGUUCAUGUGUUAGGACGCGUUUUGAAGUCAUCGUCUAUGAAGAGAGGUAUGGCCUUCUCAGGGUAGUCAGGAAUCGUGUUUCUCGAACACGGCUUGUCCUCUGUAACACCACACAAAAGAUUUUAAAAAAAUAACAUAAAAGCUGGAUAAUCUGGUAAGAAAGUUCAGCAAAAGAGCGAAUCACUGGGAAGGGUUGCUUUAUCUGCUGGAAUACAGGCACCCAAGUGUUCUUCAUCAACCGCUUAACAAGCUCCCUCUGCAGCUCCACCUACAGGCAAAAAGAGGCGAUCUCCAAGCAGAGGGAAAAAACCGGGAAGCUGAAACAGGAACGCAACAGUCGUCUUUAUCAGGCCACCGUCAUGUCCAAGGUCAUUGACUUAUACGGCCUGCUUUACAUUAACAGCAUACAAAAAAGAGACAGGAACCUUGUAUUCUGUGAAGCAAAAGGUUUAUUAUAUGAUACAUCAUGUAUGAUUAUAUUCCUAGAUUCAAUAAUUAAAAAAAAAAAAUUUUCUUUGAUUAUGUAUGUUGUAUUUUAUUACACUAUUUUAAAAAUGGGGACCGUAAGGUUUGAGAAAAGGAGGCAAAUGUUUUUGCAAUUGACAAGUGCACUUAAAGUCCUUAAAGAAAACAGCUCCAUCCUGGACAAAGUCAUUUCAGGCAACAUUUCUCACUAUUUUCUUGGAUUUUCAUUCUUUUCCAGUAUUAAAGUUUGUUUGAUUGAA